Molecule: ribosomal RNA, 253 nt
Filed under: uncultured bacterium
Lineage: Bacteria
Description: partial 16S ribosomal RNA
Rfam family: Bacterial small subunit ribosomal RNA
Source: RNAcentral
UACGUAGGGACCAAGCGUUGUUCGGAUUUACUGGGCGUAAAGCGUGCGUAGGUGGUUUGUUAAGUCUGAUGUGAAAGCCCUGGGCUCAACCUGGGAACGGCAUUGGAAACUGGCUUACUAGAGUGCGGUAGAGGGGUGUGGAAUUCCCGGUGUAGCAGUGAAAUGCGUAGAUAUCGGGAGGAACAUCUGUGGCGAAGGCGACACCCUGGACCAGCACUGACACUGAGGCACGAAAGCGUGGGGAGCAAACAGG